AACGAACGCUGGCGGCAUGCCUAACACAUGCAAGUCGAACGAGACCUUCGGGUCUAGUGGCGCACGGGUGCGUAACGCGUGGGAACCUGCCCUUAGGUUCGGAAUAACUCCCCGACAGGGGUGCUAAUACCGGAUAAUGUCUUCGGACCAAAGAUUUAUCGCCUUUGGAUGGGCCCGCGUUGGAUUAGCUAGUUGGUAGGGUAAAAGCCUACCAAGGCGACGAUCCAUAGCUGGUCUGAGAGGAUGAUCAGCCACACUGGGACUGAGACACGGCCCAGACUCCUACGGGAAGCAGCAGUGGGGAAUAUUGGACAAUGGGCGAAAGCCUGAUCCAGCAAUGCCGCGUGAGUGAUGAAGGCCGUAGGGUUGUAAAGCUCUUUUACCCGGGAUGAUAAUGACAGUACCGGGAGAAUAAGCGCCGGCUAACUCCGUG
RNAcentral lists this ribosomal RNA (433 nucleotides) under uncultured bacterium. RNAcentral describes it as "partial 16S ribosomal RNA". It matches the Rfam family "Bacterial small subunit ribosomal RNA", at positions 29 to 507 of the family's 1533-position model. The record is from RNAcentral.